CAGUCGCCGCGGUAAUACGUAGGUCCCGAGCGUUGUCCGGAUUUAUUGAGCGUAAAGGGAGCGCAGGCGGUUUAGUAAGUCUGAAGUUAAAGGCAUUGGCUCAACCAAUGUAUGCUUUGGAAACUGUUAGACUUGAGUGCAGAAGGGGAGAGUGUAAUUCCAUGUGUAGCGGUGAAAUGCGUAGAUAUAUGGAGGAACACCGGUGGCGAAAGCGGCUCUCUGGUCUGUCACUGACGCUGAGGCUCGAAAGCGUGGGUAGCGAACAGGAUUAGAUACCCCAGUAGUCCCUGUCUCUUAUACC
Molecule: ribosomal RNA, 301 nt
Filed under: uncultured bacterium
Lineage: Bacteria
Description: partial 16S ribosomal RNA
Rfam family: Bacterial small subunit ribosomal RNA
Source: RNAcentral